Molecule: ribosomal RNA, 388 nt
Filed under: uncultured bacterium
Lineage: Bacteria
Description: bacterial SSU rRNA
Rfam family: Bacterial small subunit ribosomal RNA
Source: RNAcentral
AUUGAACGCUGGCGGCAGGCCUAACCCAUGCAAGUCGAACGGUAACAGGAAACAGCUUGCUGUUUCGCUGACGAGUGGCGGACGGGUGAGUAAUGUCUGGGAAACUGCCUGAUGGAGGGGGAUAACUACUGGAAACGGUAGCUAAUACCGCAUAACGUCGCAAGACCAAAGAGGGGGACCCUCGGGCCUCUUGCCAUCGGAUGUGCCCAGAUGGGAUUAGCUUGUUGGUGGGUAACGGCUCACCAAGGCGACGAUCCCUAGCUGGUCUGAGAGGAUGACCAGCCACACUGGAACUGAGACACGGUCCAGACUCCUACGGGAGGCAGCAGUGGGGAAUAUUGGCACAAUGGGCGCAAGCCUGAUGCAGCCAUGCCGCGUGUAUGAAGAA